CCUGAGCUGAAGGCAGACGCUUAACCGCUGUGCCACCCAGGCACCCUGGUAUUACCAGUUCUUGUCUGUUUUGUUUUCCAGAGUUAAGGUAACAUUUUCUUUUCUCUUUUCUCUCAAGCUAUCUGUAACUUACCUUAAAUUGGCAAAUUACACCUCUGUAAAUAGAAACAAAGUAGAAAAGUGGUUGCCAGGGGCCGCAGGGAGAGUUUGCGAAGAGGGUAUGAACUUUCAGUUUCAGGAUGAAUGAGAUCUGAAGAUCUGAUAAACAAUGUGGAGGGUAUAGUCCAUAACACUGUCUUGGGCAACUGAAAUCUGCGAAGAGAGUAGAACUUAAAUGUUUUCACACACAAAACAGGUAACUAUGUGAGGUGAUGGGUGUGUUAAUUCACCCCAUGGGGAAGCUUCACAAUGUGUAUGCAUAUCAAACCAUCACCUGUAUACUUUAAAUGCCUUACGAUUUGUCAAUUAUACCUCAGUAAAGCUGAACACAAAAUCACAAGACAAUCUGACCAAUGGGGGAAAACACUGACUUAAACCUGCAUAGCAAACUUUGCUCUCAUUUACUGUGUUUCCCCUGGUAACCUCCCAUAACUGGCUUCCUCCCUCCCCUUUCCCUAUUAAGAUAGUAUUUAAUCCUGGCUUCUGAGCCCCCCACCCCAGGGAGUUAAUCUUUUUCCCCCUGGGUAUCUCCCAUGUACGAAUGUGGUAUACAUGUUAAUACAACUGUUAGUUUUUCUCUCUUUUAUUACAGGGACCUCAGUCAAAAACUCAGAAGGGUAGAGGAAAAUUAUUUUUCCUUCACUGUACCAGCCUUUAGCAAGAACCCUAAGUUGGUUUAGCAAGAAUCCCCCCUUGCCCUUGAUGUCCCUCUGAGUGGUCUCCCACUCACGGACCUCCCCUCCGUUGCCCCUUGGCUAUGAAUUCCCACUUGUCUGUGCUCUGUCGGGACUGGAGCUCAGGUCUCUGCUCUCCUAUCGCGGUAGUUCCUGGAUGAAAUUUGCCAUCACCUCUUUACCUGUGUCUGAUUCUGGUUUUCUUUGACACCAAUAACAUCUGGAAGUGCUCGCUUUCCUUCUCACCAAGAUCCGCUAAUCAUCUUUUUUUUUUUUUCCUGAAUUUGCUUAUUUGACUCCUUUUAUUUCCUCUCACUCAUUCAGCAAAGGUGGUCCUUUGGGAGGAAGAGAAGCAAUUCCUCAGAGGGAGGGUAGUGCUGGUCCAGCAAGUGGGGGACGGUGGGCACACGGAAUAAUACACCCCCGUGAUGCUCGCUCUGCCUUAAGCAGGUCACGCUCUUGUCCUUGUCUCCCUUUCCUCGUUACAGCGCGUCAACUCUAGUAUUUCUUAUUUUUCUCAUAUUGUAACUGAGUCCUUCUUUUAUAAUAACUCAUGUUAAGGGGGGAGUUGGCUGUGUCAGGCCAGAAAGUAAAUUGCUGACAGUUUGUAAAUAUGCUAAAGGGGCUUUAGUUUUGUCCUUAGAACACCUGGGAGCUAUUGACUGAAACAGUCUGACAAGGGAGAUGUGUGGUCACAUUUCUGCUUCACUCACGAAGUCAUUCAGCAAAUACCACGUGUCUGUGGAUUCCGAGCAUUGUUCUAAGCGCUGGGAUUCCUACAGCCAAGGGACAAAAAGCCGUGCCUUCUUGGAGCACCCAGUCCGUUCUACCUUUAAAAUACAUCCAGAAUUCCACCACAUCCACUGAUGCCAGCCCGGUCUAAGCCGCUGUCAUCUCUUGUCUGGAUUAUGGCGUCAUGGCCUCCUGAGCGGUCUCCCUGCUUCUGCCUUUGCCCUACUUCAGUUUCUUCUCAACAAGGAGCCAGAGCGAGUCUGAGAAAAGGCAAGUCAGAAAAUGCCAUCUCUUGCUGCCCCUGCAUGCACACUGCUGCCUCUGUCCUCAGCUCCUACCUCCUUCCUCCUUGCUCCUUCUGCACCAUGCCUCCCUCUUUGACCUUUGCUCUUCUUUCAACACACCAGAUGUUCAGCACUUGCUCUUUUCCCUCCUCUUUACUGGAAUUAUGACCCCAGAUGUCAAACGGUUACCUCACUUUCCUCAGAUCUUUCCUCAGAUGCCACCUUCUCAGUGAGAACAUCCUGGCCCUCCAUCCGAUGUCGUGACCCUCCCCCCAGUCCUUAUCCCAUUUCCCCCUGUUUCAUUUCUUAGCUCUCAGCACCACAUGACAUACACUAUGAUUUACUUUUUUAAUCUUGUCUAUUACAGGUCUGUUACCCGCCCCCCCCACAUAAGCUCCAUAAGGACUGAAUUUUUUUUUUAAGUUUAUUCAUUUUAUGUAGUAAUCUCUACACCCAACGUGGGACUCAAACCUGUGACCCCGAGAUCAAGAGUCACUCUUCCAACUGAGCCAGAUGGUUCCCCAGGACUGAAUUUUCGUCAAUUGUUGUAUCUCAGUGCCUAACACAGAAGGUGCUUAGUGAACAUGUAACGCCUGAAUGGAAGAAUAAGUGAAUGAAAGGAAAAGAUUUGCGUUAAAGUCUGAUAUUCAUCAGCACACAGUUUUGCAGGGUCUACUGGGUACCAGGGACUUGCUAGUCAUUGGAAUCAUACUCAAGAAAAAGACUGUUUCAGAGUCCACUUACAGUCUGUGCUGAGCAAAAGGAUCUGAAACUAUCCAGAUCCAAAAAUAAAAUCAGGAAGUAUAGGGUGUAUGAAAACCUUAGGAAGGACAACAGUGAGAAAGCUUAUAAAAGAUGUCCAAGGCAUGGGGUAUCUAAGCUGCGCCCUGGAAGUUCAGGAAGAGCAAGUAAAGGUGAAGAGGUGACGAGUGACGUGGGGGGAGGGUGGAGAGAGCCAAGAAGUCACUGAAUCUCUGAGGCUGAGGUUGGCCCGAACUGAGGGAGUGGCUGACAAGUUGACUUCUGCGCUCAAACCUCUACCCAGAAUAACUAAACAAACAAGCCAGUGAUGACCAGUGACGCCCAAGUGAAUGAAAAGCAUUUCAAGGCACUCUGCACAGUCCUACUAAUUCUUGUGUCAUUGAAAAUGUAGAAUAAAGAAUGAAUACAAGAA
Ailuropoda melanoleuca (giant panda) is the source of this 3023-nucleotide long non-coding RNA. RefSeq lists it as uncharacterized. The record is from RefSeq and is a predicted model, not a curated record. Lineage: Eukaryota; Metazoa; Chordata; Mammalia; Carnivora; Ursidae. The transcript has 2 exons.